CCUAAAUACUCAAAGUCCUUCUCUUUUGUCUUAGGCUUAAUAUUUGAAUUUGUUUUAUUGGACUUACAUUCAUCCACACAUUCAUUCAUACUUGUAGUUAACACACACUUCUCAAGAGCCUACCUAAUGCUUGGCACUCAUCUAGGUCUUGUGAAGCAGUGUUGGAAAAAAAGUAGAUGUUUUUUUCUCUUGAGCGAAUUUAUUGAGAAGGGAGGCAGAAAAUCAGAGAAGCAAAGAGACAAUGAGACCAUAACAUAUCAGGCAGAUGAAAAUAGAAUCCAGUCACGUGUUCAUGAGUUGAGGGUUAUUCUAGUUUGGAAGCCAUCGAAGUCGUCCAUGAAGAGGUGGUAUUUAAUUUGAGCCUGAACAGCAAUCACGGAUGAGAGAAUCACAGGUCCUGAUGACUAGUAGAAGCACGCCGUGUCUCUACAUGGUACGUGGCUCACACAUUCAGGUUUCUAAUGCUGGGCAGUCACUGUGCUGCCCUGUGUGCUCCUCAGCUCCUCUUUCUGAUGGAAGAACAGGAUGAGAUCUGAACUUUGAUCCUAACAAGAUCAAAAUCCUGCUCCACAAUUUUCAGAAAUAAGCAUGGCAGUUUCCCCAGAAGCCUUUCUUCAGUCUUCAUUCCCAUCAUCGGGUAUAAAUCAUGCACACGCCUAAUGACUGAAUCCACAGCAUAAAAGCAAAUAAUUUUGCAACAGAAAUAAAUCCUAUUUGUCCUUGCAUAACCCUAGGACCCUCUUCACAUCUCUUCUCUGUUAAAAACUCUGUAUCUGAUCUCCUGUUCGUUGGUGUGUAGUUAAUUCUCGUUUUUAUGAAACUCAGCCAUGUGCCCUCACUGUCCCAGUCCAGGACUGUUGCUGAAUCUUGCAAGCUUGGUGUGGUGUAUGACGAGCUGCAAGGGGACUGAUUUUGAACCAAGUCCUCAGUACUCCUUUCUGAGACCUUUCUUCAGGCUGAGGCUUCUUUUUUGGCUUCCUCUCAGGACUUGGCCCCCUUACUUAAAGUUCCAAAUUAGAGUGUCCUGGUGCCUGGGGCCGGGUUUGUGGCCAUUGGGAAAGUCUAGAGAUUAGGAAGAGAUGUGACCUUUGCAUGAAAGAAUGUUAAAAUGGUAUAAAUUUAAGAUGUCUUUGUUACAUCAUUUUUGUAUUGUUCCAUACAGAAAGUACAACAAAAUAGUAGCUUACUUAAAUUUAAAGCUAUGGUGUGAAUACAAUUCACAAAUGUAUUUGAUUGGAGAAUUUUGCAGCUUAUAAACUUUACAUGUAUGACAAGUCCUUCUAAUGAUAAGAUCAGAAAGAAAAAGACUAAAAUUUUUGAAUAUCAAAUCAUGAAAGAGGAAAUUCAGGUCCUCAAUAAAGACAUGCAACAUGUUCAUAUUUACUGUAAUCUGGGAAAUGCAAAUAAGCAUGAGAAGUAUUGCUUCUGACUUAUCAGGUUGGCAAAGUUAAACUGAGGUACAUUUACUGAUGGCAAGAUGGCUAGAAAGCUGUGCUCCUAUCCUUUUCUUCUUUUGAUAUUAAUUUUUUGAGCUCUUUGGGAAAGCAAUUUGGUAUUGAUAAAAAUACACAGGAAGUUCCCCGGUGGCCUGUCGAGUUAGGGAUUCUUCAUUGCCACGGCUGUGGCUGAAGUCACUGCUGUGGCAUGAGUUUGAUCCUAGGCCUGAGAAUGAGAACUUUCACAUGCCUUGGGCACAGUCAUAAAGAAAAAAAAAGAUAUACAGAUAUGAUUUACUCGAAACCUCUGGCAACCUACUGCAUUGUUAUAACAAAAUUCUGAUAAACAAGGGUACAUUUAAAAAGCAUAUAAAUGGCUUCAGGAUUGGUGUCAGCUACAAACUAGAAGUGACCUCACUUUCCAUCAACAGAGAAUGCUAGAGUCAAUUACAAUAUAAAGAAGCCACUUCAUGUGUGCACUGAGGUAUACAGUGUCACUGGCCAAUGGGGACCUGCUGUAUAACACAGAGAACUCUACCCAAUAAUCUGUGAUAGGAGUUCCCGUCAAGGCGCAGUGGUUAACGAAUCUGACUAGGAACCAUGAGGUUGCAGGUUUGAUCCCUGACCUUGCUCAGUGCGUUAAGAAUCUGGCAUUGCCAUGAGCUGUGGUGUAAGUCACAGACACGGCUCAGAUCUCGCGUUGCUGUGGCUCUGGCAUAGGCGGGAGGCUGCAGCUCUGAUGCCCUCUAGCCUGGGAACCUCCAUAUGCUCUGGGAGCGGCCCUAGAAAAGGCAAAAAGACCAAAAAAAAAAAAAAAAAUCUGUGAUAAUCCAUGUGGCAAAAGAAUCUGAUAUGUGUGAACAUGUAUAAGUGAAUCAUUUUGUUGUACAGCAGAAAAAAACCACAACACUGUAAAUUAAUCAUAUGUCAAGAAAAAUUUUAAAAAUGAACCAAAAGAAGCCACUCAAAGGAAUGAUAUCUCCAGUGGCUGACUUCGAUUUCUAAGAAAUAAUGUCAAGUGCCCAAGGUAAAAAGAAAGGUCCAGGGUAUAAUGCUGAUUAUAAACCAUAUUGUAAGAAACAUACAUACAUACAUUUGUAUAUAUAUAUAUUUGCGUAUGAUAUUGGGAAAACUGAGAAAUUCUUUUAAAUUUGUUUUAAGGUAGUGGUAAUAGUGAUAGUGUGGAAUGCCAGGCAAGGAGGAGCAUGAGUUCAUAUGUGCAUAGAAGUGUUCAGGAAAUACACAGUGACCCAAGUAGUAAUUUCAUUUAUCUCAUUGUGUUAGGUGAUAUGGGGAAUUCUACUUU
Molecule: long non-coding RNA, 2742 nt
Filed under: Sus scrofa (pig)
Lineage: Eukaryota; Metazoa; Chordata; Mammalia; Artiodactyla; Suidae
Description: lncRNA (ENSSSCG00050010042.1)
Source: RNAcentral